ACGUACACUCCUGCGGGAGGCAGCAGUGGGGAAUUUUGGACAAUGGGCGAAAGCCUGAUCCAGCCAUGCCGCGUGCAGGAUGAAGGCCUUCGGGUUGUAAACUGCUUUUGUACGGAACGAAACGGCCUUUUCUAAUAAAGAGGGCUAAUGACGGUACCGUAAGAAUAAGCACCGGCUAACUACGUGCCAGCAGCCGCGGUAAUACGUAGGGUGCAAGCGUUAAUCGGAAUUACUGGGCGUAAAGCGUGCGCAGGCGGUUAUGUAAGACAGUUGUGAAAUCCCCGGGCUCAACCUGGGAACUGCAUCUGUGACUGCAUAGCUAGAGUACGGUAGAGGGGGAUGGAAUUCCGCGUGUAGCAGUGAAAUGCGUAGAUAUGCGGAGGAACACCGAUGGCGAAGGCAAUCCCCUGGACCUGUACUGACGCUCAUGCACGAAAGCGUGGGGAGCAAACAGGAUUAGAUACCCCGGUAGUCCCAUG
This 479-nucleotide ribosomal RNA is filed under the name uncultured organism. RNAcentral's name for it is "partial 16S ribosomal RNA". It matches the Rfam family "Bacterial small subunit ribosomal RNA", at positions 329 to 799 of the family's 1533-position model. The record is from RNAcentral.